UCUCCGUAGGUGAACCUGCGGAGGGAUCAUUACAGAGUUCAUGCCCUACCGGGUAGAUCUCCCACCCUAUGUUAUUAUUACUUUGUUGCUUUGGCGGGCCGUUAGGCUCCGGCCCGACUACCGGCCCCGGCUGGUAAGCGCCCGCCAGAGGACCCAAAACCCUGAAUAUUAGUGUCGUCUGAGUACUAUAUAAUAGUUAAAACUUUCAACAACGGAUCUCUUGGUUUUG
RNAcentral lists this unclassified non-coding RNA (229 nucleotides) under plant metagenome. RNAcentral describes it as "partial contains small subunit ribosomal RNA, internal transcribed spacer 1, and 5.8S ribosomal RNA". The record is from RNAcentral.